RNAcentral lists this long non-coding RNA (480 nucleotides) under Androctonus crassicauda. Lineage: Eukaryota; Metazoa; Arthropoda; Arachnida; Scorpiones; Buthidae. The record is from RNAcentral.
UUAAUUUAUCUGUUUACAAUUAAUUACGAUAUUUUAAUUUUUUUUUUUUUCGAUAACUUUAUACUCUGAUAGUACGGCUUAUAGUUUAUUUUUAACUAGCACAAACUGACAGCAUUUCUUAAUGAGAAAUUUAUGUUUGUUUAUCAGAUUUUUCAGUCGAAAUUUUUCGAUUCAAAAAAAGUGACACUGGCAGGAAAUAAUUGCCAAGGCCUACAUACCAGACUCGAUUAUCCACACUUCAGAAUUUCUUCCGUUCUGUGGGAGACUUCCUUCUUUUCCAGUAGAAAAAGGUUGUGGAUUAGUCGCAUUCAAAAACCGCAUCCAGCUGACGAUGUCAUUAUAUAUCCAUACUGCAUAUAAACGAAUGUCAGGAAUAGUUUUUUUUCACUCUUUCUUUGACGUUUGUCUAAUUACUCUUUAAACGUUUUCUUGACAAUAAUUUUUUUUUCUCAUAAUCAAAAACCAGUUUCGCAGAAUCCG